Molecule: ribosomal RNA, 393 nt
Filed under: uncultured bacterium
Lineage: Bacteria
Description: partial 16S ribosomal RNA
Rfam family: Bacterial small subunit ribosomal RNA
Source: RNAcentral
AUACGGAGGAUCCGAGCGUUAUCCGGAUUUAUUGGGUUUAAAGGGUGCGCAGGCGGCCAUUUAAGUCAGCGGUUAAAUCGUGGGGCUCAACCCCAUUCUGCCGUUGAUACUGGGUGGCUUGAUUGCGGUCGAGGUUGGCGGAAUUCGUUGUGUAGCGGUGAAAUGCAUAGAUAUGACGAAGAACACCGAUUGCGUAGGCAGCUGACCAGACCGCAAAUGACGCUCAUGCACGAAAGUGCGGGGAUCGAACAGGAUUAGAUACCCUGGUAGUCCGCACAGUAAACGAUGAAUACUUGUUUUCGGCGAUAUAAUGUCGGAGGCAAAGCGAAAGCGAUAAGUAUUCCACCUGGGGAGUACGCCGGCAACGGUGAAACUCAAAUGAAUUGAGCGGGG